GGGGGCAUCCUAAUCAUGCAAGUCGAGCGAAUGACGAAGAAGCUUGCUUCUUCUGAUUUAGCGGCGGACGGGUGAGUAACACGUGGGCAACCUGCCCUGUAGAUUGGGAUAACUCCGGGAAACCGGGGCUAAUACCGAAUAAUCCAUUUCCUCACAUGGGGAAAUGUUAAAAGACGGUCUCGGCUGUCACUACAGGAUGGGCCCGCGGCGCAUUAGCUAGUUGGUGAGGUAACGGCUCACCAAGGCGACGAUGCGUAGCCGACCUGAGAGGGUGAUCGGCCACACUGGGACUGAGACACGGCCCAGACUCCUACGGGAGGCAGCAGUAGGGAAUCUUCCACAAUGGACGAAAGUCUGAUGGAGCAAUGCCGCGUGAGUGAAGAAGGUUUUCGGAUCGUAAAACUCUGUUGUGAGGGAAGAACAAGUACGAGAGUAACUGCUCGUACCUUGACGGUACCUCAUUAGAAAGCCACGGCUAACUACGUGCCAGCAGCCGCGGUAAUACGUAGGUGGCAAGCGUUGUCCGGAAUUAUUGGGCGUAAAGCGCGCGCAGGCGGUCCUUUAAGUCUGAUGUGAAAUCCCACGGCUCAACCGUGGAAGGUCAUUGGAAACUGGGGGACUUGAGUACAGAAGAGGAAAGCGGAAUUCCAAGUGUAGCGGUGAAAUGCGUAGAGAUUUGGAGGAACACCAGUGGCGAAGGCGGCUUUCUGGUCUGUAACUGACGCUGAGGCGCGAAAG
RNAcentral lists this ribosomal RNA (738 nucleotides) under Psychrobacillus psychrodurans. RNAcentral describes it as "bacterial SSU rRNA". It matches the Rfam family "Bacterial small subunit ribosomal RNA", at positions 38 to 759 of the family's 1533-position model. The record is from RNAcentral. Lineage: Bacteria; Bacillati; Bacillota; Bacilli; Caryophanales; Bacillaceae.